Molecule: long non-coding RNA, 445 nt
Filed under: Equus asinus (donkey)
Lineage: Eukaryota; Metazoa; Chordata; Mammalia; Perissodactyla; Equidae
Description: lncRNA (ENSEASG00005032314.1)
Source: RNAcentral
AAAAUGGGAAGAUUUACACAUCUCAGCCUCUCUGUCUACCUACCCCAUCCAAUCGUCCUUCCAUAUCUUCCCAAGCCAUGGUUCAGUGAAACCCAAGAAGCUUCCCAGUUGCCAUGGAAAUGCCAAGGAUACAUCUAAUAGGAAUCAUUCCGAAACAGGUGGUGAAACUUGAACAGGAACAAGGAAGGGGUGUCCCCCAAUGAUUAUACAAGACCAUUUGCUGUCUGCAGCAAACUGACAUUGGAGCAUCAGUGGAUGGGGCGUGCAGAGAGAGCUCACAGGAGUGCUUAACUGCUCAUCUUUCGAGAGAUCUAAAGAGUAGAAGUGGUGGACCCCAGCCCCCAGGCCAAGAAGUGACGUGGGAAAACAGGCUGUGUUAACCGGAAAGGACAGGACAUGGCAGAGGGUUUUUGAGAGGAGUAAAUAAAUCACAUGUGUAACUAUG